UAAACUCACUGUCCAUAUAAAAUAUUUAUUACAGCAAGAGUACAGGUCAGUUAGAGAGUGCAGGUCAGUUAGAGAUGAGAGUACAGGUCAGUUACAGAGUGCAGGUCAGUUAGAGAUGAGAGUGCAGGUCAGUUAGAGAUGAGAGUACAGGUCAGUUACAGAGUGCAGGUCAGUUAGAGAUGAGAGUACAGGUCAGUUACAGAGUGCAGGUCAGUUAGAGAUGAGAGUGCAGGUCAGUUAGAGAUGAGAGUACAGGUCAGUUACAGAGUGCAGGUCAGUUAGAGAUGAGAGUGCAGGUCAGUUAGAGAUGAGAGUACAGGUCAGUUACAGAGUACAGGUCAGUUAGAGAUGAGAGUGCAGGUCAGUUAGAGAUGAGAGUGCAGGUCAGUUACAGAGUGCAGGUCAGUUAGAGAUGAGAGUACAGGUCAGUUAGAGAUGAGAGUACAGGUCAGUUACAGAGUACAGGUCAGUUAGAGAUGAGAGUGCAGGUCAGUUACAGAGUGCAGGUCAGUUAGAGAUGAGAGUGCAGGUCAGUUAGAGAUGAGAGUGCAGGUCAGUUAGAGAUGAGAGUGCAGGUCAGUUAGAGAUGAGAGUGCAGGUCAGUUAGAGAGUGCAGGUCAGUUAGAUGAGAGUACAGGUCAGUUACAGAGUGCAGGUCAGUUAGAGAUGAGAGUGCAGGUCAGUUAGAGAUGAGAGUGCAGGUCAGUUAGAGAGUGCAGGUCAGUUAGAGAUGAGAGUGCAGGUCAGUUAGAGAGUGCAGGUCAGUUAGAGAGUGCAGGUCAGUUAGAGAGUGCAGGUCAGUUAGAGAGAACUUCACAGUGAGGAUUCAGUACACAGCGUUUUAUAUCUAAAGGAAGUUUAACAGCAACAGAAAUCAAAAUAAAUUAAAAUGAUACUUUAGUGACAUCAUCAUCAUUAUAAUAUAUUGUCUGUGUGUGUUUAUCUUUGUGUGUGUCUGUGUGUGUGUGUGUUUAUCUUUGUGUGUGUCUGUGUGUGUGUGUGUGUUUAUCUUUGUGUGUGUCUGUGUGUGU
Hemibagrus wyckioides is the source of this 1031-nucleotide long non-coding RNA. RefSeq lists it as uncharacterized. NCBI's taxonomy places the organism in Eukaryota, Metazoa, Chordata, Actinopteri, Siluriformes, Bagridae. The record is from RefSeq and is a predicted model, not a curated record. The transcript is spliced from 3 exons.